Molecule: non-coding RNA, 4350 nt
Organism: Macaca mulatta (Rhesus monkey)
Lineage: Eukaryota; Metazoa; Chordata; Mammalia; Primates; Cercopithecidae
Source: RefSeq, a predicted model, not a curated record
GCUGAGAUUAUAGGCACUCACCACCAUGCCCAGCUAAUUUUUUGUAUUUUUGGUAGAGAUGGGGUUUCGCUUUUAAGGAGAUUGUUCUUUAAGUAUUAAUUGGUGGCCUGCCAUUGAACUAAUGUUAGUGUAGUGCUGACAUCCUCAGCCACGGCAGAAACUUACUUGGCACCCCUGGAAAAGAGGGCAGGGAAGCAUAGUGCCCUGAAACCACCUCAUUCUCCAGUGCUACUUCCAACUCUGAGCUGAUGGUCAUUAUGAGUGGAUCUGCCCUGGACAAGUAGUUUAGUGCAGCUGCCUUGGACAGGCAGGUUAAAAGUAACAAACCGCCACAAAACUCAGCUAAUAAAAUGUCAAGAGAGACAUGGGGCACCAGGAAGGGGUGAGGCCUGUCUCCCUGUGUGCCAUCUGUGUGGAGCCUCAGUACCUAGGGGACAGCGUUUACACAGAGCCCCAGGUUUUUAAUAGCAUUUCCCUGAAUAAAAUGUCACUUGUGAGCUGCGGACUGGGAAGCUUUUUCUGAUGAUUAGGUUUUGUAAUGUGGGAUCAUCAGUAGGCAAGGUGGACCUGAGGGCUGUAGGAUCUGGAGACUGUCCAGGACGGCUUUCUGGGGAAGAUGGGCUUGUCCCGUCAGCAGUCAAGACACCAAAGAGAGUCUUUCUGAGAAUAAAAGACAGAAGCUUUUAAGGAAAAAAGCAGUUUCUCUCUCUGUUUGGGAGUUGAGUGCAUUUUCCUACAUUUAUUCGGAGAUGUUCCUUGGUUCCCACCAUGUGCCAUUGCCCCGCUAUGGGGUAGGGUCACCCCACCGCGUACCUAACCCAGGAAAACUCCUCUGCAGUGAUUUCAGAGGCUGUGUGCAUUUCUCUUGCCUCAAUGGGUAGAGUAAGUUUUUCUUCCUACUGUUUUUAGUCAGUUUUCUUAAUCUAGCGUACCUUGCGUAGAGAGCAGUCCACCUGUAACCAGUUUGUUCCUGGAGGUGCUGCAGUGACUUUGGUUACGCGAGGGCCCCGUGGCUCAGGAUGGGCUGAGGAAGGAGUGUGUGUGUGAGCAGUGGGCACUGGCCAGAGGCAGGGGAGGUGUGGCCACUUGUGGCUUAAACUCCCCCCAUGCGCUCUACUGCACCGCUGGGACGUGAACACUCUCGCCCUGGACGUUUUCUCUGAAUGCUCAGGGCCCAGGCUCUUGGGUACACAGGCGGCCCCGGGGUUUAUUUGAAAAAGUUGUCAUGAACAGUGAAGUAACCCACGUGCCUAAGCUUUGAUUGACAUGAAGGAAUGUAGAGGCUGCUGAAAUCCUGGUCAUUUUAGAACAAAGUAUUUUAUUAACAGUUUUCUGACAGAAAGAAAUCGUUAAAAAAUUGAUCCCUGUUGAGGUAGAAGGAUCUCGUCCUCAUGCUCCUCAGUUCUUUCCAGAAUCAGCUUCCAGUUCAGCUGCACAACAGGUUCUGCUAGUGGCUGGAGCAGCCCAGGCAGGUGCUGUUGGGUCUGAGUUCACACUGGUGCCCGUGUCGUCUCCAGUUAUGGUGUGGGCUGUGGGGUCUGAGUUCACAGCAUUGCCCAUGUGGUCUCCAGUUACGGUGCUGGCCAUGGAGUUUGAGUUCACACUGGUGCCUGCGUGGUCUUCAGUUACAGUGCUGGCCAUUUGUGCCUUUCUGGGAAGUUAGAAGGAGGAUGAUUUCUUCACCUCUCUGUCCUCCCACACCUGAUCUAUGCUGGGCCACCGUGAAUUCUUCUUUUUAACUGUUUCUCUCAUCACGGGCAACACUGAUGUUCUGUGGUCCACGUUUGCCUUUUCUGAAAACGGAUUCUGUGUUGCUUUAUAGAAUCACCUGGUCUCUUUUAUGAGUUUCGCUUUUCUUUAAGAAAAUAAUCUUCUUUAAUAAUCUUCUUUAAGAAAAUAAUCUUCUUUAAGAAAAUAAUCUUCAAUCUGAACUCUGUUCCCUGACACAGGCUCUUGCCAGCUCGAAAAUUAAAAGUAAUCUUUGAUUAUACUUAAUACUUUCUAAACUUUUCAAAAGUUUAUCAGCAUGUGGGUUACUGAACAUUGACUGUUUAUUUAAUGGAAAAUUACAUUCUAAGUAGAGUAUUAGAGUGAAAAUGAUCUUUUGAUUUUAUUAAAAUAUUCAGGUAAAAAUAUUAAAAUGCCUUCGCCAAACUUCAUGCCUGCAUAUCGUGAAAACAUUAAGCUGCUCUCUGCUCCCGGGAAUGCAUGAGUAGAGUAUGUGUUUGAAAGCGUCAUUCCAGUCUUAACUUUUAGGUAUUCUUAAAUGGGUAGGCUGGAGAAGUGACAUUUAGCAUUGAGUGAACGUUAGAUAAAGAUAUGUCUUGAUAAAAAAAUAGUUAAAAACAAUCUUUAGUGUUUCCUGUCGGGGUUCACCCAUUAAAGAAUGGUCUUGUAAAAAACUCAUUAAGAGUGUCGGCGCCCAGAGGUGCUACCUUGCCCACAGUUUUGUCACCUGCUGUCACCAGGCGACACGCCCAGCGUUUAGCUGCACGUCAGAUGUGGCCACGGGGCCACAGGGCAUCUCGGCAGAUGGAUGUUCUUAUGCAGAUUAAUGAGGAUGGGGACCGCUGCAGAACUGUAAGCCCCCCAGGGGCUGACGGAAGCCUGGGAACACCCGAGACACCAGAGUCGCUGCUGCCCUGGGUGGAAGGAUACCUGCCCUGGAAGAUGGGAAACGCAAUAAGGAGAAAGUACCAAGGCAGUGGCUCCCCACCUGUGAGUGGUCAGAAAGGUUCACGCAGUUUUCCAGGGCGGCCUUUGCAUUUACUGGAACUAUUAAGAGCUCGUUCCUGCUUCGGCGGCGAUUGACAUGCAGUGCGCGUGAGGCCGUGCGUGGCUUAGUGUCUUCUCUAGGCUUACAGACCUUCACAGGCUCCUAGGUCACACGUUUCAGUUUCUCAGCGAGUGACAUUCUCUGCGGAAGCCGUGUCAGCCUCUUGUUUGUUGAUGUCAGCCACAGCAGAAAGAAGCACUCCGUAGGCCCCGUGCUCAGCACCUUGGCGUGAGCUCUUGCAAUCUUCUGUUCAUGCUCAUCACAGCUCUGUGCAGUGGGCGUCCUCCUGAUCCCGGUGGGAGGAUGGAGGAUGGAGGCGGAACGGUGAGUGACAGCAGGAUCACAUGAGGGGUCUCUCCCGAGGUAGAGAGGGGAACCGGCCCAGAACCUCAGUGCCCAUUACGUCCUUCCUACUCCUCCUCUGCCUCUCUGUGACUGACUCAGGCUGCAGGGACAGACGUGAGUAUGUGCAGAGUGUGUGUGCACCCCUGGGGGUGUGUGCUCAUAUUGGCAGGGAGGGAUGUGAGUGUGUACAGAGCGUGUGUGCACACCUGGGCAUGUGUGCUGGCAUUGGCAGGGACAGAUGUGUACAGAGUGUGUGUGCACACCUCGGGGGUGUGUGCUGUUGGCAUGGACAGACGUGAGCGUGUACAGAGGAAGUGUACACACCUGGGGGUGUGUGCUGGUGUUAGCAUAGACAGACAUUAGCGUGUACAGGGCAUGUGUACACACCUGGGGGUGUGUGCUUAUGUUGUUUUGUAAGCGGCAAAUACGUGGCCCGAUGCUUCUGGCGGCCCUGCGCCCGUGCUGACUCCGUCAGUGGCUCUCGGGUUGGGGUCUCCAUCUCCCCAGACAGCACUCGAGUGGCUUGAGGUUUCAGAUUCUUCCUCUCCGGUUACUUGGGCCUCCUCAGACCAAACAUCAGAACCAGCCAACUGCAAACUACAAGAACAUUCAAAUGCAUCUUCAGUAGAGAAAACAAAAGCAAUUGGAAUAAUUUUCCAACAUGACCCCGUGGUUAAGCCGUUAGAUACUCCAGCUAACAGAUUGAGUCACUUUAAAAUUCACACCAAUUAAAAUGGUUGUGACAGUUGCAGAGCUUUACCGCUAAACCUUGAAAUAAUUGAAGAGUUCUGCUCCACUUGCUUACAAACUGGGGUUGGGGAUAACUUUCAGUCCAAAGUAGCAACCUUCUAAAACCAGCUUAGAUGCGAGGCUCCCACUCACACAGGAAGAGACAGUGGCCCUUGAUUAUUCUCCUGUUUCAGAUGCUUUGUCAUUUUUUUUUGUAUCCUGAUCAUCACUUCUGCUUUUCCAAUUCAAACUAAAGGGAGUUUAGUUCUGUUUUGGAGAAGCUGUGGUUAGUGGUUUCUUUUCAUGGUUUGCUUAAUCUCUUAAGUCUGGCACUUACAUUUACCCAAAUGGACUUUUCUUUAGUAAGACGGUGCCGUAGCCCAGGGCUUUUCCCUCCAUAUCUGCUCCCCAGGAGGCCCCCUAGGAAUGGGCGCUAGAGAUCCAGCCCCUCUCCGUGUGCCAUUUUCUUUGAGUCCAAUGUAGGUUUGGCUCAGAGAAGA